Jatropha curcas is the source of this 327-nucleotide non-coding RNA. The record is from RefSeq and is a predicted model, not a curated record. NCBI's taxonomy places the organism in Eukaryota, Viridiplantae, Streptophyta, Magnoliopsida, Malpighiales, Euphorbiaceae.
GAAGGUGUUCUUGAUGAAUUAGAGUGCGAGACAAAGAGAAGGGAAGUGCUUAAAUUAUAUGGAAGCACCAGAAAAAAGAAAACUAGAGUGUCCAUAUAUGGGAAGUUAUGCUGCCUCUACAUGCUUAUGAGUUUUUUACAAACUAAGCUACCAUAUUCAUCGGGACUAGACUGAAAUGCAGAAAGUUUCAAUGUUAUUUAAUUAUAGUCUUCUCUCUUUUUACAUACAUUAUUAUAUAAUUUGCAUUUUCUACAUUAUUUAUAUUGUAAUAAUGCCAUCUCCUUAAUUAAAUAUGAAUUGCAUAUAUUUUACAUGUAAAUAAUGUUU